Non-coding RNA from Schistosoma mansoni, 46 nucleotides. The record is from Rfam. NCBI's taxonomy places the organism in Eukaryota, Metazoa, Platyhelminthes, Trematoda, Strigeidida, Schistosomatidae.
GCACUGCUGAGGAGUCCUUCAAUAGAACGAAACAGCCGUCCAGUGC